Molecule: transfer RNA, 68 nt
Filed under: Xenograpsus testudinatus
Lineage: Eukaryota; Metazoa; Arthropoda; Malacostraca; Decapoda; Xenograpsidae
Description: tRNA-Trp
Source: RNAcentral
AGAACUUUAAGUUAUUGAAACUAAAAGCCUUCAAAGCUUUAAAAAAAAGUAAACUCUUUUAAGUUCUA